Molecule: ribosomal RNA, 365 nt
Filed under: uncultured Glomus
Lineage: Eukaryota; Fungi; Glomeromycota; Glomeromycetes; Glomerales; Glomeraceae
Description: SSU rRNA
Rfam family: Eukaryotic small subunit ribosomal RNA
Source: RNAcentral
GCCAGCAGCCGCGGUAAUUCCAGCUCCAAUAGCGUAUAUUAAAGUUGUUGCAGUUAAAAAGCUCGUAGUUGAAUUUCGGGAUCAAUACGUCGGUCGUGCUUCGGUACGUACUGGCGUCAUUGAUUUCUCCCUUCUGACGAACCAUGAUGUCAUUAACUUGGUGUCAUGGGAAAUCAGGACUGUUACUUUGAAGAAAUUAGAGUGUUUAAAGCAGGCUCACGCUUGAAUACAUUAGCAUGGAAUAAUGAAAUAGGACGUUCGAUCCUAUUUUGUUGGUUUCUAGGAUUGACGUAAUGAUUAAUAGGGAUAGUUGGGGGCAUUAGUAUUCAAUUGUCAGAGGUGAAAUUCUUGGAUUUAUUGAAGAC